Molecule: ribosomal RNA, 444 nt
Filed under: uncultured bacterium
Lineage: Bacteria
Description: partial 16S ribosomal RNA
Rfam family: Bacterial small subunit ribosomal RNA
Source: RNAcentral
CCUACGGGGUGCUGCAGUGGGGAAUAUUGGGCAAUGGAGGCAACUCUUACCCAGCAAUGCCGCGUGAAUGAAGAAGGUCUUCGGAUUGUAAAGUUCCUUUUUUGGGGACGAAAAAAAUGACGGUACCCCACGGAUAAGUCUCGGCUAACUACGUGCCAGCAGCCGCGGUAAUACGUAGGGGGCAAGCGUUGUUCGGAAUGACUGGGCGUAAAGGGUGUGUAGGGGGUGUAGGUAAGUAGAAGGGGAAUUCCUAGGGCUCAACUGAGGUGUUGCAUCUAAAACUGGAAGCCUUGAGUGCAGUAGAGGAAGGCGGAAUUCCUGGUGUAGCGGUGGAAUGCUUAGAUAUGAGGAGGAACACCGAUGGCGAAGGCGACUUUCCGGAGUGCAACUGACGCUGAGGCACGAAAGUGGGGGUAUCAAACAGGAUUAGAUACCCCUGUAGUC